GGAUUCUGGGUAAUCCAAGAUGGAGGCUGUCAGAAGCACAUUGGAACCAAAUGCAGUAUCCUAUCCUUAGGCCUUCCAGGGAUGCAUCUACUUCCAACAUGUACACCUGUCGGAUUGAGGCUCUGGAAAGAAGCCAUUGAUUUUCUCUGCAAAUUAAACAGAUACUGCCUGACCUGCUGUGCUUUUUCCCAGCAUCAUGCUUUAUCAACUCAACAGGCUGAUAACCU
Chiloscyllium plagiosum (whitespotted bambooshark) is the source of this 227-nucleotide non-coding RNA. The record is from RefSeq and is a predicted model, not a curated record. NCBI's taxonomy places the organism in Eukaryota, Metazoa, Chordata, Chondrichthyes, Orectolobiformes, Hemiscylliidae.